RNAcentral lists this ribosomal RNA (442 nucleotides) under Hyalomma aegyptium. RNAcentral's name for it is "partial small subunit ribosomal RNA". The stretch from base 309 to 442 matches the Rfam family "Bacterial large subunit ribosomal RNA", at positions 2473 to 2607 of the family's 2925-position model. Lineage: Eukaryota; Metazoa; Arthropoda; Arachnida; Ixodida; Ixodidae. The record is from RNAcentral.
CUGCUCAAUGAAUUUUUAAAUUGCUGUGGUAUUUUGACUAUACAAAGGUAUUGUAAUAAGAUUUUAAUUGAAUGCUAAAAGAAUGGAAGUUUAGAAAAAGUCUUUUUAAAAAAUAAAAAUUAAAAUUUUUUUAAUUUGUGCAGAAACAAUUAUUUAUAUUAAAGACAAGAAGACCCUAAGAAUUUUCUGGUUCAAUAAUUUAUAUAUUUAAUUUAUUAAACCUUGGUUGGGGCGAUCAAAAAAUAUUAAUAACUUUUUUUCAUUAAAAUGAUCUAUUAUUAAUAAAUUAAUGAAUUAAAUACUCUAGGGAUAACAGCGUAAUAAUUUUUGAUAGAUCUUAUAGACAAAAUAGUUUGCGACCUCGAUGUUGGAUUAGGAUUCUUUUUUGGUGAAGAAACCAAAAAAAGAAGUUUGUUCAACUUUUAAACUCCUACUUGAUCUG